Molecule: ribosomal RNA, 636 nt
Filed under: uncultured organism
Description: SSU rRNA
Rfam family: Bacterial small subunit ribosomal RNA
Source: RNAcentral
UAGCCCCGGGAAACCGGGGCUAAUACCGGAUAGGUGACCUUUCUGCAUGGAGGGGUCAUGAAAGGCGGCGGACGCCGUCGCUUACGGAGGGGCCCGCGGCGCAUUACCUAGUUGGUGAGGGAAGGGCUCACCAAGGCGACGAUGCGUAGCCGGCCUGAGAGAGUGAACGGCCACACUGGGACUGAGACACGGCCCAGACUCCUGCGGGAGGCAGCAGUAGGGAAUCUUCCGCAAUGGACGGAAGUCUGACGGAGCAACCCCGCGUGAGUGAUGAAGGCCUUCGGGUCGUAAAGCUCUGUUGUUCGUGAAGAAGGGGUCGGCCAGGAUAUGGGCCGACAUUGACGGUACUUGAGAAGAAAGCCCCGGCUAACUACGUGCCAGCAGCCGCGGUAAUACGUAGGGGGCAAGCGUUGUCCGUAAUUAUUGGGAGUAAAGACGCGCGCAGGCGGUUCAUUAAGUCUGGUGUUUAACAUGGGGGGUCAUCACCGAGUCGCACCAGAAAAAGGUGGAGUUGAGUGCAGAAGAGGAAAGUAGAAUUACUCGAGUAGCGGUGAAAUGAGUAGAGAUGUGGAGGAACACCAGUGGCUAAGGCGACUUUCUGGGCUGUAACUGACGCUGAGGCGCGAAAGCGUGGGG